AAGGAGUCUAACAUAUGUGCAAGUCUUUGGGUAGCAAGCCCUUGGGCGCAAUGAAAGUGAAAUAGGGUUAGUUUUAUUACAACCACCGGGCCGGGAUCUUGGGUUUUAAUCCUUGAUUUGAGUUUGCGUUAGAGCGUAUAUGUUGGGACCCGAAAGAUGGUGAACUAUGCCUGAAUAGGGCGAAGCCAGAGGAAACUCUGGUGGAGGAUCGUAGCGAUUUUGACGUGCAAAUCAAUCGUCAAAUUUGGGUAUAGGGGCGAAAGACUAAUCGAACCAUCUAGUAGCUGGUUCCCAC
RNAcentral lists this unclassified non-coding RNA (295 nucleotides) under uncultured fungus. Its description in RNAcentral is "partial contains 5.8S rRNA, ITS2 and 28S rRNA". It matches the Rfam family "Eukaryotic large subunit ribosomal RNA", at positions 668 to 961 of the family's 3401-position model. Lineage: Eukaryota; Fungi. The record is from RNAcentral.